Molecule: ribosomal RNA, 395 nt
Filed under: Hemphillia burringtoni (keeled jumping slug)
Lineage: Eukaryota; Metazoa; Mollusca; Gastropoda; Stylommatophora; Arionidae
Description: partial large subunit ribosomal RNA
Source: RNAcentral
AAUUUUAGGUGUGCCCUGCCCGGUGAUAUUUAUUUAACGGCCGCAGUACUCUGACUGUGCUAAGGUAGCAUAAUAAUUUGUCUUUUAAUUUUUGACUGGAAUAAACGGGUGUUUUAUUGAAGUCUGUCUUUUUUGUAUUAUGUUAAACUUAUUUAUAAGGUGAAAAUACCUUAAUUUUAUAUAUUAGACGAGAAGACCCUUAGAGUUUAAUAUAUAUUUUGUUGGGGCGACAGAGAAGCAUAUAGCUUUCUUUAUUUUUUUUUAUAUAUCAAUUUAAUUAAUUAAUAAAUAAACUACCUAAGGGAUAACAGCAUAAUUUUUUAGAGAGAUUAUGACCUCGAUGUUGGAUUAAGGACUUAUAUACUAACAGUUUAAUAAGAUUGUUCUGUUCGAAC